GAUGAACGCUGGCGGCGUGCCUAAUACAUGCCAGUCGAACGCUUCACUUCGGUGAAGAGUGGCGAACGGGUGAGUAAUACAUAAGUAACCUGGCAUCUACAGGGGGAUAACUGAUGGAAACGUCAGCUAAGACCGCAUAGGUGUAGAGAUCGCAUGAACUCUAUAUGAAAAGUGCUACGGGACUGGUAGAUGAUGGACUUAUGGCGCAUUAGCUUGUUGGUAGGGUAACGGCCUACCAAGGCGACGAUGCGUAGCCGACCUGAGAGGGUGACCGGCCACACUGGGACUGAGACACGGCCCAGACUCCUACGGGAGGCAGCAGUAGGGAAUUUUCGGCAAUGGGGGAAACCCUGACCGAGCAACGCCGCGUGAAGGAAGAAGUAAUUCGGUAUGUAAACUUCUGUCAUAGAGGAAGAACGGGGGAUAUAGGGAAUGAUAUCCAAGUGACGGUACUCUAUAAGAAAGCCACGGCUAACUACGUG
RNAcentral lists this ribosomal RNA (482 nucleotides) under uncultured bacterium. Its description in RNAcentral is "partial 16S ribosomal RNA". It matches the Rfam family "Bacterial small subunit ribosomal RNA", at positions 28 to 507 of the family's 1533-position model. The record is from RNAcentral.